CAAAGAGCUCUUUCAGUGAACAUUUGGGUCAGAACUUUUAUUAUAUAAAUAGGCACCUGCUGCACAGAGCUGUGGCAGUGAGCAUGUAGGCAUAUGCUGCUAUUCCAGCAUAUCUUCUAGGGGAAUCUCUGAUCUGGCCCCAUACCUGGCUGCUUCUAGCAUGUGUCUUCAUGGAAGACGCUGGCACUGUUUUAAAUUUUACAUGCUUCUUUCUUCCUUCCUUCUAAACAAGUUUAGUCAACGUUUUCUUCCUAGAGCUGGAACAUCUAAUACAAAUUAUAAAGACAAAGAUCCUUCAAACCCCUUGGUGAAAAUUAUGGCAGCAUUCCAGGAUUUAACUCCCUGAAAUCCAGUCCAUGUGAAGAAUCUAGCAGAAAAAUCAGUUUGUCCAUGCCCCAUCACUAAGAGAGAUCUGCCUCAGGGACAUUUUUCAUCUUGGUCAUCUGGAAAGGCCUAUGGUGAUGUUUCUCUAUCCCAGAGUGACAGAAGUACAAACUGUACCAACUGUACUGGCAAGAAGGUGUCAUUUUUGUGUUUUUAGGAACACUCUGGACUUAAGCCUUUACAUCUGCUGAUCA
Molecule: long non-coding RNA, 578 nt
Organism: Motacilla alba alba
Lineage: Eukaryota; Metazoa; Chordata; Aves; Passeriformes; Motacillidae
Exons: 3
Source: RefSeq, a predicted model, not a curated record